AGUGAACGCUGGCGGUAGGCCUAACACAUGCAAGUCGAACGGCAGCACAGUAAGAGCUUGCUCUUACGGGUGGCGAGUGGCGGACGGGUGAGGAAUACAUCGGAAUCUACUUUUUCGUGGGGGAUAACGUAGGGAAACUUACGCUAAUACCGCAUACGACCUACGGGUGAAAGCAGGGGAUCUUCGGACCUUGCGCGAUUGAAUGAGCCGAUGUCGGAUUAGCUAGUUGGCGGGGUAAAGGCCCACCAAGGCGACGAUCCGUAGCUGGUCUGAGAGGAUGAUCAGCCACACUGGAACUGAGACACGGUCCAGACUCCUACGGGAGGCAGCAGUGGGGAAUAUUGGACAAUGGGCGCAAGCCUGAUCCAGCCAUACCGCGUGGGUGAAGAAGGCCUUCGGGUUGUAAAGCCCUUUUGUUGGGAAAGAAAAGCAGCAGGUUAAUACCCCGCUGCUCUGACGGUACCCAAAGAAUAAGCACCGGCUAACUUCGCG
This 492-nucleotide ribosomal RNA is filed under the name uncultured bacterium. RNAcentral describes it as "partial 16S ribosomal RNA". It matches the Rfam family "Bacterial small subunit ribosomal RNA", at positions 29 to 507 of the family's 1533-position model. The record is from RNAcentral.